CCUACGGGGGGCAGCAGUGGGGAAUAUUGCACAAUGGGGGAAACCCUGAUGCAGCGACGCCGCGUGAGUGAAGAAGUAUUUCGGUAUGUAAAGCUCUAUCAGCCGGGAAGAAAUAGCGACCUUUGGGUCGCCAGACGGUACCUGACUAAGAAGCACCGGCUAACUACGUCCCAGCAGCCGCGGUGAUACGUAGGGGGCAAGCGUUAUCCUGAUUUACUGGGUGUAAAGGGAGCGUAGACGGCAGCACAAGUCGGAAGGGAAAUGCCGGGGCUUAACCCCGGAACUGCUUUGGAAACUGUGCAGCUAGAGUGCAGGAGAGGUAAGUGGAAUGCCUAGUGUAGCGGUGAGAUGCGUAGAUAUCAGGAGGAACACCAGUGGCGAAGGCGGCAUACUGGACUGUAACUGACGUUGAGGCUCGAAAGCGUGGGGAGCGAACAGGAUUAGAUACCCCAGUAGUC
Molecule: ribosomal RNA, 458 nt
Filed under: uncultured bacterium
Lineage: Bacteria
Description: partial 16S ribosomal RNA
Rfam family: Bacterial small subunit ribosomal RNA
Source: RNAcentral